CUUCAAGCAGUCACCGCACACAACCCUAUUAAACAGCAAGUAGAGUCACCCCGAUAUAUAAUGGGAUAGAAGAAAUUAAGAGAGGCACAGCUGGAGGAAAGAGGCUUCCACUCUCUACCUUCAUCUGAUGAAGUUAUAUGCACCGUCUGCCACCCAAUUUCAGCUCCAAUGACUCGAGGGCGCAUGGGAGAGCAUGAAAACUACAAGGCGCACCGAAACGGGAUUUCCGAACGGGCCAGAGACCAUGCACAAGCCACAUGGGCGUAUGACCAAACGAAAACGCUUGGAUGAAUAUGUAUACGAAAGCGGUGAAAGCGAGGAGGGAGAUAACAGGUGUGAUAAUAGCUCAGAAGGCGAUAAAGAAUCCGAUGAUACAGAUGAGGGGGCGCUGGAAGAGGAAGUAGAUAGCGAUAUUGAUGAUAUAAUAGAAUACAAAGGUUUUAUGUAACGAUCGCAUAGUUUGUAUACCUGUAUACGUGUAUAUAGUAGUACAGCAAAUAGUCCUCAAGGUAUAUCUUAUAUAGAUGUCACGUAUGGUGGAUUUGUUGAGAUGUUUGUGCAUGCAUGCAUGGAUGGA
Molecule: small RNA, 577 nt
Filed under: Cryptococcus neoformans H99
Lineage: Eukaryota; Fungi; Basidiomycota; Tremellomycetes; Tremellales; Cryptococcaceae
Description: Cryptococcus neoformans var. grubii H99 hypothetical RNA
Source: RNAcentral